RNAcentral lists this ribosomal RNA (495 nucleotides) under uncultured bacterium. RNAcentral's name for it is "bacterial SSU rRNA". It matches the Rfam family "Bacterial small subunit ribosomal RNA", at positions 903 to 1397 of the family's 1533-position model. The record is from RNAcentral.
AAAUGAAUUGACGGGGGCCCGCACAAGCGGUGGAGCAUGUGGUUUAAUUCGACGCAACGCGCAGAACCUUACCCGGGCUAGAAAAGCAGGGAAUCCCCUAGAAAUAGGGGAGUGCCCUUCGGGGAACCCUGAUCCAGGUGCUGCAUGGCUGUCGUCAGCUCGUGUCGUGAGAUGUUGGGUUAAGUCCCGCAACGAGCGCAACCCUUGUCCUUCGUUGCCAUCAUUAAGUUGGGCACUCAAAGGAGACUGCCGACGUCAAGUCGGAGGAAGGUGGGGACGACGUCAAGUCCUCAUGGCCCUUAUGUCCGGGGCUACACACGUGCUACAAUGGACGGUACAAAGCGCUGCGAAGCCGCAAGGCGAAGCCAAUCGCAAAAAGCCGUCCUCAGUACAGAUUGCAGGCUGCAACUCGCCUGCAUGAAGUCGGAAUCGCUAGUAACCGCUGAUCAGCAGGCAGCGGUGAAUACGUUCCCGGGCCUUGUACACACCGCCCGU